CGCCGCCCGCGACGUUGCGAGAAAUCCCUUGAACCUUAUCAUUUAAAGGAGAUGUCGUAACAAGGUUUUUGUCRGUGAACYUGCAGAAGGAUCAUUGUCGAGACUCAGAACGACCAGAAGACCCGCGAACUCGGAACGGAUGCCGCCGGAGCAGGUGAACACGCCCGUCCCUCCGUCUCGUCACCCCUCGGGUUGCGUCCGCGCGGCGCGGCCCGGCGGGCGGAGGACACAUCCCGACACGGCACGCGCCAAGGAAUGACCGAAUGACCRUCGGAAUAGGGCUCCGMUCCCGCCCGUGCGGCGGGGCGACGCCUUGCUCUACUCGAAACACGGUGUAUGACUUUCGGCAAMGGAUAUCUCGUUUCUCGCAUSGAUGAAGAACAUAGCAAAAUGCAAUCAUUGGUGUGAAUUGCAAAAUCCCUCGAACCAUCGAGUCUUUGAAUGCAAGUUGCGCCUGAGGCCAUCCAGCCGAGGGCACGCCUGCCUGGGCGUCACACAUCGCGUCCCUCCGCGCCCCACGGGCGCUGGACACUGAGAUUGCCCCCUCGAGCGCGAGUGCGGCGGGCCUAAGCACGGGCCACCGGUAGGGACGAGCAUGGUGAGUGGUGGAUGGAAGCGCGGACUCCGCGCAUACGAGACAGACGCCGUGGCCACCGAUCCCCAGCAGCACAGGGCCCUUCGGAACCCCACAGGGCGUGCGAGCCCUCCCCAAGGUCGGGCGAGCUGCCUCGCACCGCGACCCUAGGUCAGGCGGGGCCACUCGCCGAGUUUAAGCAUAUCAAUAAGCGGAGAAGAAG
This 797-nucleotide small RNA is filed under the name Smilax hypoglauca. Its description in RNAcentral is "eukaryotic LSU rRNA". The stretch from base 339 to 494 matches the Rfam family "5.8S ribosomal RNA". Lineage: Eukaryota; Viridiplantae; Streptophyta; Magnoliopsida; Liliales; Smilacaceae. The record is from RNAcentral.